AUUGAACGCUGGCGGCAGGCCUAACACAUGCAAGUCGAACGGUAACAGAAAGCAGCUUGCUGCUUUGCUGACGAGUGGCGGACGGGUGAGUAAUGUCUGGGAAACUGCCUGAUGGAGGGGGAUAACUACUGGAAACGGUAGCUAAUACCGCAUAACGUCGCAAGACCAAAGAGGGGGACCUUCGGGCCUCUUGCCAUCGGAUGUGCCCAGAUGGGAUUAGCUAGUAGGUGGGGUAACGGCUCACCUAGGCGACGAUCUCUAGCUGGUCUGAGAGGAUGACCAGCCACACUGGAACUGAGACACGGUCCAGACUCCUACGGGAGGCAGCAGUGGGGAAUAUUGCACAAUGGGCGCAAGCCUGAUGCAGCCAUGCCGCGUGUAUGAAGAAGGCCUUCGGGUUGUAAAGUACUUUCAGCGGGGAGGAAGGGAGUAAAGUUAAUACCUUUGCUCAUUGACGUUACCCGCAGAAGAAGCACCGGCUAACUCCGUG
This 490-nucleotide ribosomal RNA is filed under the name uncultured bacterium. RNAcentral describes it as "partial 16S ribosomal RNA". It matches the Rfam family "Bacterial small subunit ribosomal RNA", at positions 30 to 507 of the family's 1533-position model. The record is from RNAcentral.